Molecule: long non-coding RNA, 443 nt
Organism: Homo sapiens (human)
Lineage: Eukaryota; Metazoa; Chordata; Mammalia; Primates; Hominidae
Gene: CASTOR3P
Product: CASTOR family member 3, pseudogene
Source: Ensembl
GUGCUCAAGCGGGACCUGCCCUUUGUCACCCACACGUUGUCAUCAGAGUUCACCAUCCUGUGGUCAGUGGCUAGACUGUAGCAGCCGAGAACCUCGGCAUCACCAGUGGCUUCGUGAAGCCCAAGCUGGGGCCUUGGUGUACCUUGUUGUAGUGUUUGAAAACAUCUGAGGCUGCAUCCAUCUCCAGCACCCCAUAAAGCAACAGCUUGCAGAACCCGGCUAGGAGGCGGCGCCGCUGGUGUAGCCGCUCUAUCUGUAAAUGAUCCUCCUGGGAAUCACCUGGCUCACAUGGAAGGCAAAAGGGAAUCACAGACUUAAGCUUCCUGCCCUAUAUUUCUGAGCUACACCCAAGCCCCAGCCCUUACUGAGCCCCAGGUAUAGAGUCACUGCACCACUGCCCAGGUCUCCCGGCUGGAUGAAGACGUGGUCCAUGAGGAAGCUGG